Molecule: long non-coding RNA, 509 nt
Filed under: Prunus dulcis (almond)
Lineage: Eukaryota; Viridiplantae; Streptophyta; Magnoliopsida; Rosales; Rosaceae
Description: sRNA ncRNA
Source: RNAcentral
UCCCAAGAAAGAAAAACCAUUUAUAUCAAUAAAAAAUUAAAUUCUAUUAAACAUCUAAUUAUUAACUUAUAUUAGGGAAACCACAUACACAAAAAGAUGGACGUCGGGGGUUGAAGAGUAGGGGCCCACGGUGGGUGGCUACAUGAGGGGUGCCGGCGAGUGAGGAUCCACUCUGGAGGGAGUAAUGCAGUAAGAGUGUCUUCUCGCUGCUCUGGUAAGCCAACGAGCUUUACAGCAUGCUGCAAAUUACAUCUUCCAUCUUCACAGGCGGAAGAAUAUUCUUGACGGCCUGCACUUUAGGGCUGGCCUAGCCGAAACGGCCUGCACUUCAGGGCGACCAAUUCCUCUUCCUACCUCCUUUGCACCCAGAUUGGCACACCGACAAGGGCCCACUGUGCCCCUCAUGUGCGCUCACGUGCCGCGGGUUGUCCUCGCGCUCCUAUUCCCCUUCCAAACCAUCUUUAUUGCCCCCACAAUGGGUCACAAGCUCGCGUGACUGAGCUCGGCAC